UCCCUGGUGGCUCAGCAGUAAAGAAUCUGCUUGCAAUGCAGGAGGCCCAGGUUCAAUCCCUCGACUGGGAA
RNAcentral lists this transfer RNA (71 nucleotides) under Ovis aries (sheep). It matches the Rfam family "tRNA". From Rfam's summary of the family: Transfer RNA (tRNA) molecules are approximately 80 nucleotides in length. Their secondary structure includes four short double-helical elements and three loops (D, anti-codon, and T loops). Further hydrogen bonds mediate the characteristic L-shaped molecular structure. tRNAs have two regions of fundamental functional importance: the anti-codon, which is responsible for specific mRNA codon recognition, and the 3' end, to which the tRNAs corresponding amino acid is attached (by aminoacyl-tRNA synthetases). tRNAs cope with the degeneracy of the genetic code in two manners: having more than one tRNA (with a specific anti-codon) for a particular amino acid; and 'wobble' base-pairing, i.e. permitting non-standard base-pairing at the 3rd anti-codon position. The record is from Rfam by way of RNAcentral. Lineage: Eukaryota; Metazoa; Chordata; Mammalia; Artiodactyla; Bovidae.